GAAGCAACGGCUGGCGGCGUGCCUAACACAUGCAAGUCAACUUGACUGAAGGAGCAAUCUGACAGUAGAGUGGCGCAAGGGUGCGUAACGCGUAAGUAACUUGACCCCAAGGUAAGGAAUAACGUCGAGAAAUCGGCGCUAAUACCUCAUAAUGCAGCGGAUCCGCAUGGAUAUGUUGUUAAAGGUUUACCGCCUUGGGAUAGGCUUGCGUCUGAUUAGUUAGUUGGUGUGGUAACGGCACACCAAGGCUACGAUCAGUAACUGGUCUGAGAGGAUGAUCAGUCACACUGGAACUGAGACACGGUCCAGACUCCUACGGGAGGCAGCAGUGAGGAAUAUUGGGCAAUGCUCGAAAGAGUGACCCAGCAACGCCGCGUGGAGGAUGAAGGUAUUCUAUAUCGUAAACUCCUGUGAGAGCAGACGAAAGACAGAUUAUUAAUCUGGAUGACUGUAUGCUCAGAGGAAGCCCCGGCUAACUACGUG
RNAcentral lists this ribosomal RNA (483 nucleotides) under uncultured bacterium. RNAcentral's name for it is "bacterial SSU rRNA". It matches the Rfam family "Bacterial small subunit ribosomal RNA", at positions 35 to 507 of the family's 1533-position model. The record is from RNAcentral.